CUGGCGACCGGCAAACGGGUGCGGAACACGUACGCAACCUCCCUCUAACUGGAAGAUAGCCCACCGAAAGGUGGAUUAAUACUCCAUAACAUAUUGAAGUGGCAUCACUUUAAUAUUAAAGCUCCGGCGGUAAGAGAUGGGCGUGCGUCUGAUUAGGUAGUCGGCGGGGUAACGGCCCACCAAGCCUGCGAUCAGUAGCUGAUGUGAGAGCAUGAUCAGCCACACGGGCACUGAGACACGGGCCCGGCUCCUACGGGAGGCAGCAGUAAGGAAUAUUGGUCAAUGGACGCAAGUCUGUACCAGCCAUGCCGCGUGGAGGAUGAAGGUCCUCUGGAUUGUAAACUUCUUUUCUCUGGGACGAAACCCCCGAUUUCCAUCGGGCCUGACGGUACCAGAGGAAUAAGCACCGGCUAACUCCGUGCCAGCAGCCGCGGUAAUACGGAGGGUGCAAGCGUUAUCCGGAUUCACUGGGUUUAAAGGGUGCGUAGGCGGGUUUGUAAGUCAGUGGUGAAAUCCCCGGGCUUAACUUGGGAACUGCCAUUGAUACUGCAAGUCUUGAAUUUUCUGGAGGUAAGCGGAAUAUGUCAUGUAGCGGUGAAAUGCUUAGAUAUGACAUAGAACACCCAUUGCGAAGGCAGCUUACUACGGGAAUAUUGACGCUGAGGCACGAAAGCGUGGGGAUCAAACAGGAUUAGAUACCCUGGUAGUCCACGCCCUAAACGAUGAUUACUCGACAUUAGCGAUAUUACAGUUAGUGUCU
RNAcentral lists this ribosomal RNA (760 nucleotides) under uncultured bacterium. RNAcentral's name for it is "bacterial SSU rRNA". It matches the Rfam family "Bacterial small subunit ribosomal RNA", at positions 88 to 848 of the family's 1533-position model. The record is from RNAcentral.